GUUCGAAUCCCACCCUCUCCGCCAAAUGCCCAGAUAGCUCAGUCGGUAGAGCAGGGGACUGAAAAUCCCCGUGUCGGUGGUUCGAUUCCGCCUCUGGGCACCAAAAUAUGGCGGUAUAGCUUAGUUGGCUAGAGCGUUCGGUUCAUACCCGAAAGGUCAUAGGUUCGACUCCUAUUACCGCUACUAAAAUUUAAUGUGGGCCAUUAGCUCAGUUGGUUAGAGCGCCCGGCUCAUAACCGGUAGGUCUGGGGUUCGAGUCCCUGAUGGCCCACCACAUUAAAUUAAUUAAUAUAAAUUCGAGGUGUAGCGCAGUUUGGUAGCGCACAUGGUUUGGGACCAUGGGGCCGGGGGUUCGAGUCCCUUCACCUCGACCAAUAUAAGGUGGGUAUAGCUCAGUUGGUUAGAGCGCCAGAUUGUGGCUCUGGAGGUCGUGAGUUCGACUCUCAUUAUCCACCCCAAUUCAUAUGGUCUAUUAGCUCAGUCGGUAGAGCACCUGACUUUUAAUCAGGGUGUCCCGCGUUCGAGUCGCGGAUAGAUCACCAAAAAGGUGGCGACAUAGCCAAGUGGUAAGGCAGUGGACUGCAACUCCUUGAUCCCCAGUUCGAAUCUGGGUGUCGCCUCCAAAAUAUUCCAAGGUAGCUCAACGGUGGAGCAACCGGCUGUUAACCGGUAGGCUGUGGGUUCGAGCCCCACCCUUGGAGCCAAAAAAGCCGAAGUGGCGGAACUGGCAGACGCACAGGACUUAAAAUCCUGCGGGACUUACCUCUCGUACCGGUUCGAUUCCGGUCUUCGGCACUUAUAAAACAAUAUCGCGGAGUGGAGCAGUUGGCAGCUCGUCGGGCUCAUAACCCGAAGGUCGUAGGUUCAAGUCCUGCCUCCGCAACCAUUAAAAUGGCUCGUUGGUCAAGAGGUUAAGACACCGCCCUUUCACGGCGGUAACAGGGGUUCAAUUCCCCUACGAGUCACCAAUUAAAUAUGCGGGUGUAGCUCAAUGGUAGAGUUCUGGCCUUCCAAGCCAGCUGUGAGGGUUCGAUCCCCUUCACCCGCUCCAAAAAUGGGACCAUAGCUCAGCUGGGAGAGCACCUGCCUUACAAGCAGGGGGUCACAGGUUCGAGCCCUGUUGGUCCCACCAUUUGCGGCCUGGUAGUUCAGUUGGUUAGAAUGCCAGCCUGUCACGCUGGAGGUCGAGGGUUCGAACCCCUUCCAGGUCGCCAAAAUAAAAUGCUGGUGUGGCUCAACGGUAGAGCAGCUGACUUGUAAUCAGCAGGUUGUAGGUUCGAUUCCUAUCACCAGCUCCAUGUAAAAUUAAUACGGAGGAUUUCCCGAGCGGCCAAAGGGGGCAGACUGUAAAUCUGUUGUCAUCGACUUCGGUGGUUCGAAUCCACCAUCCUCCACCAAAAAAUGCGCGGAUGUGGCGGAAUUGGCAGACGCACUAGACUUAGGAUCUAGCGCCAUUGGCGUGGGGGUUCGACUCCCUUCAUCCGCACCAUUUUUGUUUGAUAUACAUAUAUAAAUUGUGGGUGCAUAGCUCAGCUGGAUAGAGCAACGCCCUUCUAAGGCGUGUGUCCGGGGUUCGAAUCCCUGUGCGCUCACCACAUAUAUUGGGGAUUAGCCAAGUCGGUAAGGCACAUGACUUUGACUCAUGUAUGCGUAGGUUCGAGUCCUGCAUCCCCAGCCAAAUGAUGUAUUACUAAGCUAUAUUUGAACUAUUUUUAUUUUAAAUAUAGUUAGGUUCAAUUUUAGAAUAAGUUUAAGUAUCCGAAUGUGGAGAGGUGUCCGAGUGGUUUAAGGAGCUGGUCUUGAAAACCAGUGACUUCGAAAGGGGCCGUGGGUUCGAAUCCCACCCUCUCCGCCAAAUGCCCAGAUAGCUCAGUCGGUAGAGCAGGGGACUGAAAAUCCCCGUGUCGGUGGUUCGAUUCCGCCUCUGGGCACCAAAAUAUGGCGGUAUAGCUUAGUUGGCUAGAGCGUUCGGUUCAUACCCGAAAGGUCNAUGAGUAGCGAGAUGUGGGUGAGAAUCCCACAGGCCGUAAACCCAAGGUUUCCAGGGGAAGGUUCGUCCGCCCUGGGUUAGUCGGGACCUAAGCUGAGGCCGAAAGGCGUAGGUGAUGGACAACAGGUUGAUAUUCCUGUACUACCGAUAACCGUUUGAGAGAAGGGAUGACACAGUAGGAUAAGCUAAGCACACUGUUGGUUAUGUGUGCCCAAGCAUUGAGGCAGUCAAAGUAGGCAAAUCCGCUUUGAUAAUGCUGGGAUGUGAUGGGGAGCGAAAUUUAGUAGCGAAGUAGCUGAUUUCACACUGUCAAGAAAAGUCUCUAUCGAGGUUAAAGGUACCCGUACCGCAAACCGACACAGGUGGGUGAGGAGAGUAUCCUAAGGCCAGCGAGAGAACUGUUGUUAAGGAACUCGGCAAAAUGACCCCGUAACUUAGGGAUAAGGGGUGCCACCAUCAGGUGGCCGCAGAGAAUAGGCCCAAGCGACUGUUUACCAAAAACAUAGGUUUCUGCUAAGUCGCAAGACGAUGUAUAGGAGCUGACGCCUGCCCGGUGCUGGAAGGUUAAGGGGAUCUGUUAGAGCAAUCGAAGCAGUGAACUUAAGCCCCAGUAAACGGCGGCCGUAACUAUAACGGUCCUAAGGUAGCGAAAUUCCUUGUCGGGUAAGUUCCGACCCGCACGAAAGGCGUAACGAUUUGGGCACUGUCUCAACAACAGACUCGGUGAAAUUGUAAUUCCGGUGAAGAUGCCGGAUACCUGCGACAGGACGGAAAGACCCCAUGGAGCUUUACUGUAGCUUGACAUUGGGUCUUGGUACUACAUGUACAGGAUAGGUGGGAGGCUUUGAAACCAGGACGCCAGUUUUGGCGGAGCCAUCCUUGGGAUACCACCCUUGUAGUACUGGGACUCUAACCAUAGGCCAUGAAUCUGGUCUUGGGACACUGUCAGGUGGGCAGUUUGACUGGGGCGGUCGCCUCCCAAAAGGUAACGGAGGCGCUCAAAGGUUCUCUCAGUACGGUCGGAAAUCGUACGUAGAGUGUAAAGGCAAAAGAGAGCUUGAUUGCAAGACAUACAGGUCGAGCAAGGAUGAAAAUCGGACUUAGUGAUCCGGUGGUUCUGCGUGGAAGGGCCAUCGCUCAACGGAUAAAAGCUACCCUGGGGAUAACAGGCUUAUCUCCCCCAAGAGUCCACAUCGACGGGGAGGUUUGGCACCUCGAUGUCGGCUCAUCACAUCCUGGGGCUGUAGUAGGUCCCAAGGGUUGGGCUGUUCGCCCAUUAAAGUGGUACGCGAGCUGGGUUCAGAACGUCGUGAGACAGUUCGGUCCCUAUCCGUCGCAGGCGUAGGAAAUUUGAGAAGACCUGUCCUUAGUACGAGAGGACCGGGAUGGACGUACCUCUGGUGUACCAGUUGUCCUGCCAAGGGCAUGGCUGGGUAGCUAUGUACGGAAUGGAUAAGCGCUGAAAGCAUCUAAGCGCGAAGCCAACUUCAAGAUAAGAUUUCCCACCGCAAGGGUAAGACCCCAGAAAGACUAUCUGGUUGAUAGGUCGAAGGUGUAAGUGCAGCAAUGUAUUUAGCUUAUCGAUACUAAUAGGUCGAGGACUUGACCAA
This 3600-nucleotide ribosomal RNA is filed under the name Clostridioides difficile. Its description in RNAcentral is "23S ribosomal RNA". The stretch from base 1749 to 3600 matches the Rfam family "Bacterial large subunit ribosomal RNA". Lineage: Bacteria; Bacillati; Bacillota; Clostridia; Peptostreptococcales; Peptostreptococcaceae. The record is from RNAcentral.